This 309-nucleotide ribosomal RNA is filed under the name Klebsiella pneumoniae subsp. pneumoniae. Its description in RNAcentral is "bacterial SSU rRNA". It matches the Rfam family "Bacterial small subunit ribosomal RNA", at positions 308 to 609 of the family's 1533-position model. The record is from RNAcentral. Lineage: Bacteria; Pseudomonadati; Pseudomonadota; Gammaproteobacteria; Enterobacterales; Enterobacteriaceae.
CCACACUGGAACUGAGACACGGUCCAGACUCCUACGGGAGGCAGCAGUGGGGAAUAUUGCACAAUGGGCGCAAGCCUGAUGCAGCCAUGCCGCGUGUGUGAAGAAGGCCUUCGGGUUGUAAAGCACUUUCAGCGGGGAGGAAGGCGUUAAGGUUAAUAACCUCAUCGAUUGACGUUACCCGCAGAAGAAGCACCGGCUAACUCCGUGCCAGCAGCCGCGGUAAUACGGAGGGUGCAAGCGUUAAUCGGAAUUACUGGGCGUAAAGCGCACGCAGGCGGUCUGUCAAGUCGGAUGUGAAAUCCCCGGGCU